GGCCUUCGGGAACUCUGACACAGGUGCUGCAUGGCUGUCGUCGGCUCGUGUCGUGAGAUGUUGGGUUAAGUCCCGCAACGAGCGCAACCCCUAUUGUUAGUUGCCAUCAUUCAGUUGGGCACUCUAGCGAGACUGCCGGUAAUAAACCGGAGGAAGGUGGGGAUGACGUCAAAUCAUCAUGCCCCUUAUGACCUGGGCUACACACGUGCUACAAUGGUUGGUACAACGAGUUGCGAGUCGGUGACGGCGAGCUAAUCUCUUAAAGCCAAUCUCAGUUCGGAUUGUAGGCUGCAACUCGCCUACAUGAAGUCGGAAUCGCUAGUAAUCGCGGAUCAGCACGCCGCGGUGAAUACGUUCCCGGGCCUU
Molecule: ribosomal RNA, 366 nt
Filed under: uncultured Streptococcus sp.
Lineage: Bacteria; Bacillati; Bacillota; Bacilli; Lactobacillales; Streptococcaceae
Description: bacterial SSU rRNA
Rfam family: Bacterial small subunit ribosomal RNA
Source: RNAcentral